This 320-nucleotide long non-coding RNA is filed under the name Homo sapiens (human). RNAcentral's name for it is "non-protein coding lnc-CST8-4:1". The record is from RNAcentral. Lineage: Eukaryota; Metazoa; Chordata; Mammalia; Primates; Hominidae.
AUGGCUGAAUACUUCCCUGCCAUGGUGGAAUGUGUGUGUCACACACAUUCCACCUGCAGAGCAUGGACUCAUAUGCCUACAAGCUGGUGCAUGUUCUGAGUUCCUAGAGGAAGAAGAUAGAGUCCAAGACCGUAUUCUCAAUGGAGCUACUGCUGGGGAGAACUAGGUGUGGGAAAUUUGAAGACAACAUUGAUAACUGCCCUUUCCAAGAAAGCACAGAGCUGAACGAUAUGCUCACCUGCUUCUUCACUUUUAGGACCCAGCCCUGGGUAAUGCAGUGUGAGCUCCUGAACAAGACCUGCUCAGAGGGGUUCCCCUGA